RNAcentral lists this long non-coding RNA (6120 nucleotides) under Gossypium barbadense (sea-island cotton). RNAcentral describes it as "long non-coding RNA (GBAR_LNC007818)". Lineage: Eukaryota; Viridiplantae; Streptophyta; Magnoliopsida; Malvales; Malvaceae. The record is from RNAcentral.
AUCAUGAAAAUUAAUUAAUUAACUCUAUAUUACCCUCCUCAAUAUUCCAUUACAAAUACCAAGCUUCACUUGAAUAUAAAUACAAUAACUUUAUUUUUGUAAUUUGCACAUAAUAUUCACAACAAUCACACAUCCAAACACAAAAGCUACAAUGUAAAUCCACCUCUAGCCUAAGCUAAUAGACAAUUAUGCUAUUGUUAAGUUAAUCCUUUCGUUCAGACAAUCACCGGGGCAGACGAAAGGGUAACUCUCGAUCCACAAAUGCUCCGACCGACCGACCUUGAUUGAUCAGUGCUACCAAUAUCUACCACUGCUGCUGCUGCUGCUGCUGCUGCUGCAACCAUAAUCCAAGUGUUGCCAACACCUUCCAUUUCCAAUAACCGGUCUCUCGCAAGGAGCACCAUUGCAGGUGGUUGCUCCACAAAUUAAUAUAAUAUCAUCACCACCAUGGUCCAACCACCGCGGAGUAAAACUGCUACCAUAGCCGCCAUAAUUUAAGUUCCGCGAAGUAAAACAACUACUACUGCGACCAUAAUUCGUGUUGCGGAAAGGAUCGAUUCGAGAACUCCGAUAUGACUACAAGUAAAUUGACCGAAACGAAAAAUAAAGUGAACUCAAGGAUUUACGUGGUUCGGCUUUAAUGCCUACGUCCACGGGCAGAGGCGAAAAGAAAUUUCACUAUAACAAGAUGAAGAUUACAAGUGUUUUACACUCAAGACACAACCCGAGAACCUCACAACUCUCAACCCCUAUAGAAAACCCGAAAGCUAAAAUCCUAGCUUUCAAAGAACAAGCUUUGCUCUCUCUUGGUUUGGGAUGAUUUAUAUGGCUAAUGAACCUCUCUAUUUAUAAGAGAGUUCAAGGACAUAAUUGUCCAAAACUUUGGCAAAGAUUUGUGGUUGAAAAUGGACACCAACAACCAUCCACUAAUCCACUACCACCAACAACCCACUACCAACAACAACAAUCCACUACCAAUUUUAAGCCAUUUCUUAACAAAUCUCCACCUUGGCUUGAAAUUUACCAAGCUGAACAUCAUAGUGAAUUCCUCGAACUGGAUCACCUCUUCCAAACGCCUCUCUGGCGCUAAUCAAUCCCGAAUACCUAUCAAGUCCAAGCAAUGCUUGAACUUAUAUGCAGGGAUCACCUUAGUUAACAUAUCUGCAGGAUUCUUCUCGGUAGCAACCUUGCUGAUAACAAUGUCACCUUGCGUAACAUGUUCCCGAACAAAAUGAUAUCUGACAUCAAUGUGUUUGGUCCGUUCAUGAAACAUCUGAUUUUUAGUCAGAUGUAUGGCACUCUGGCUAUCGCAAAAUACAACAGUGAAAUCCUGUUGUAAACCCAAACUGCUUACUAGACCUUUCAUCCACAAUGCUUCUUUCACUGCUUCUGCUAACGCCAUAUAUUCCGCCUCAGUCGUAGAUAAGGCUACGGUAGACUGUAACACAGCUUUCCAACUAAUGGCUCCUCCAGAAUAAGUGAAAACAUAACCCGUCAGAGAUCUUCUUUUGUCCAGAUCUCCAGCAUAAUCAGAGUCCACAUAGCCCGUGACACUGCUAGUGCAGUCACUCUGAUCAUAUACCAAGCAUAAAUCUGCAGAACCUCUCAAGUACCUGAGAAUCCAUUUCACGGCCUGCCAGUGUUCCUUGCCAGGACAACUCAUGUAUCUGCUGACCACACUAACUGCAUGUGAAAUGUCUGGACGAGUGCAAACCAUUGCAUACAUCACGCUUCCAACUGCACUCGAGUAUGGAAUGUGAGACAUUUGCUGCUUUUCUUCAUCAGAUUGUGGUGACAACUCUGCAGAGAGUUUGAAAUGUGGUGCCAACGGAGUACUCACAGUUUUCGCUUUAUCCAUGCCGAAGCGUUGAAGAACCUUUUCAAUGUAGUUCUUCUGCGACACACGAAGCUUGCCCGCCUUGCGAUCUCUGUGAAUAUCCAUGCCCAAAAUUUUCUUGGCAGCACCCAGAUCCUUCAUCUCGAACUCACCACUCAACUGCGACUUUAACUUGUUGAUUUCCGACAUGUUUUUGGAAGCAAUUAACAUGUCAUCAACAUACAGCAACAAAUAAAUGUGCGAACCAUCUGAGAGCUUCCGAUGAUAGACACAAGCAUCAUAGUCACAUCUUGUGUAACCAUGCUGAAUCAUGAAGCUAUCAAACCGCUUGUACCACUGCCUUGGGGAUUGUUUCAAUCCAUAUAAAGACUUCUUUAAUAGACAGACAUGGUCUUCUUUACCAGGAACUGUAAAACCCUCUGGUUGACGCAUGUAGAUUGUUUCCUCGAGCUCACCAUGCAAGAACGCCGUUUUUACGUCAAGCUGCUCAAGUUCUAGAUCAGACUUGGCCACCAUGGCAAGUAAUACACGAAUGGAAGAAUGCUUUACGACUGGGGAGAAAACUUCAUUGUAGUCAAUCCCCUCUUUCUGAGUGAAGCCUUUAGCAACCAAUCGUGCCUUGAAUCUAGUUGCUUCAACCCCUAGGAUGCCUUCCUUUUUCUUGAAGACCCAUUUGCAACCAACUAUCUUCUGGUUACUUGGCGGCUUAACCAACUCCCAAGUAUGGUUCUUGUGAAGAGAUUCUAUCUCCUCACUCAUAGCAAUUGCCCACUGUGCCGACUCAUCACACGUGACAGCCUCAUUAUAACUGGAAGGUUCUAUACCAAUGGACUCCGCCACACUGAGCGCGAAAGACACCAGAUUAGCGUAACGCGGAUUUGGUUUGAUUUGUCUCUUCGUUCUUCCAGUGGCAAUGCUAUAUGGUUUUUCUUGAGGUGACUCAUCUUCAUCGGAAUCUUGCACCUCAACUUGAUCAUCCUGGACUGAAGUACCUUCCGUAGGAAUUGGAGCGUCCACCUGACACUCCACCUGCUUCUCAACACCGUGAUCUCCCAUUCUAUCUGACUCCUCCUUUUCCCGGGAAUUUGUGGUGGAUCGAAGCAUGGAUGACUCAUCAAAAGUCACAUCUCUGCUGAUGAUGAACUUGGACGAAACCGGAUCAGGACACCACAACCUGUAUCCUUUCACCCCUUGGCCGUAUCCAAGAAAUAUGCAUUUCUUCGCCCUCGGUUUGAGUUUUCCCUCAUUUACAUGAGCAUACGCAGGGCAGCCAAACACUCUUAAACCAGAGUAAUCAGCAGGAGAACCAGACCAUACUUCCUCAGGAGUCUUCAGCUCAAUAGCUGUUGACGGAGAUCUGUUAACCAAAUAACAAGCAGUAUUAACAGCUUCAGCCCAAAAUUCUUCACCGAGCCCAGCAUUUGAUCGCAUGCAACGAGCUCGCUCCAAGAGAGUUCUAUUCAUGCGUUCUGCAACUCCAUUUUGUUGUGGUGUUCGACGAACAGUGCGGUGUCUCACUAUUCCUUCAUUUUUGCAGAACUCAUUGAAUUCACCUGAGCAAAACUCCAAGCCAUUAUCCGUCCGGAAUCGCUUGAUCUUCUUUCCUGUUUGAUUUUCGAUCAAAGCUUUAAAUUGCUUGAAGUUGAUGAGAACCUCAUACUUGCUCUUCAGAAAAUACACCCAAACCUUUCUCGAGUAAUCAUCGAUAAAGGUAAGCAGAUAUCUGUAACCACCUUUAGAAAUUGUCGGAGAAGGCCCCCAAAGGUCAGAAUGGAAGUAAUCCACUGUGCCUUUUGUCUUGUGAAUCCCAGUGCUGAACUUUACCCGAGUCUGCUUACCGAAGACGCAGUGCUCACAGAAAUUCAACUUUCCUGUACACUGCCCAGACAAUAAUCCUCGUUUGCUUAGCACCGAUAAGCCUCUCUCGCUCAUAUGCCCGAGCCGCAUAUGCCAUAACUUCGUGGUGUCAGAAUCUAGAUCAUCUGAUGAUGUCACUCCCGCAACACCUGUAACCGAGGAACCAUCGAGGAAGUAAAGGCCCCGCUCCAAAUUACCACGUAUCACAGUCAAAGCACCCGAGAAUACCUUGAGAACUCCACCUUCAGCAGAGUACCGAAAGCCUUUCUUGUCCAACGUACUCAAAGAGAUCAAAUUUUUCUUCAUUUCUGGAAUGUGCCGAACAUCAGUUAGAGUUCUAACAAUACCGUCAAACAUCUUUAUACGAACUGUGCCAAUCCCCAUGACUUGACAUGCGUGGUCAUUUCCCAUUAGUACUGAACCAGAAUGCUUCUCGUAUGUUGAGAAUGCAUCUUUCGAAGUACUUAUAUGAAAUGUAGCUCCCGUAUCAAGAAUCCAUCUCCCACCAGCGUAAGAGUCGGAUACUGCAAGAACGAUCUCGGCAUCACUUGAAGAAUCUGCAUCAGCUACAUUCGCACGAUCAUUUUGUUGCUCCUGUGAUUCUGAUUUCUCCUUCCUUUUCGGACAAUCUACCUUCAUGUGCCCGUACUUCUUACAGUAGUAGCACUGUAUUCUCUUCUUGGACUGCGAUCUAGGAUGGCUUUUACUUGAACUUCCACCCUUUGCCUUGGAUCUUCCUCGAGCAACCAAGCCUUCGCCUUCAUUGUUUUCGACCACCUUACCAGUGAUUUUCUUCCUCAACUCACUGGAACUUAAGGCAUUUUUCACCUCCUCUAGAGUCAGGUCAUCACGACCGUACAUCAUUGUAUCAACAAAAUUCUCAUACGAGGGAGGCAAAGAACACAAAACAAUUAUUGCUUGGUCCUCAUCAUCGAUUUUGUUAUCGAUAUUAUUCAAAUCCAUGAUAAUGGAAUUGAAUUUAUCCAGGUGCUGGGAAACAGGUGUACCUUCCUCCAUCUUCAGGGCAUAGAGUCUUUGCUUGAGGUAGAGCCGGUUCGUCAAUGACUUCGUCAUGUACUUGCUCUCUAACCGGAGCCACAAACCGGACGCGGUUUUCUCAUCCGCUACUUCUCGUAGCACUUCAUCUCCUAGACAUAGCAGAAUAGCACUAUGUGCUCUUUCUAGCAUGUCAUCCUUUUGCUCUUCCGAAAGCGUGCUUGGUAAUUUAUCUUUACCAGACAAUGCUUUUAGCAAUCCUUGUUGAACCAGCACUGCCCGCAUCUUGAUGCGCCAUAAACUGAAACUAUUUUUCCCGGUAAAUUUCUCGACAUCAUACUUAGUCGAUGAAACACUUGUAGCCAUAAUUUGGAACCUUUGAAUGAAUGAUAAUAUUUUCUUCCUGAUGUGAAAGAUCAGACAAAGCUGCAGUCACAGGGCAAUUCAGAAAAUAUUAUCACUCCUUCAACUACGCUCUGAUACCAAUUUGUUGCGGAAAGGAUCGAUUCGAGAACUCCGAUAUGACUACAAGUAAAUUGACCGAAACGAAAAAUAAAGUGAACUCAAGGAUUUACGUGGUUCGGCUUUAAUGCCUACGUCCACGGGCAGAGGCGAAAAGAAAUUUCACUAUAACAAGAUGAAGAUUACAAGUGUUUUACACUCAAGACACAACCCGAGAACCUCACAACUCUCAACCCCUAUAGAAAACCCGAAAGCUAAAAUCCUAGCUUUCAAAGAACAAGCUUUGCUCUCUCUUGGUUUGGGAUGAUUUAUAUGGCUAAUGAACCUCUCUAUUUAUAAGAGAGUUCAAGGACAUAAUUGUCCAAAACUUUGGCAAAGAUUUGUGGUUGAAAAUGGACACCAACAACCAUCCACUAAUCCACUACCACCAACAACCCACUACCAACAACAACAAUCCACUACCAAUUUUAAGCCAUUUCUUAACAAUUCGAAUGUUGCCAACAUCUUCCAUUUCCAUUAACCGGUCUCUCACAAGGAGCACCAUCGCAAGUGGGUGCUCCACAAACGGAUGUAAUAUCACCACCACCGUGGUCCAACCAUUGUGGAGUAAAACUGCUACCGCCGUCCCUGCCAUAAUCCAAGUGUUGCCAACACCUUCCAUUUCCACUAACCGGUCUCUCGCAAGGAGCACCAUUGUAGGUGGUUGCUCCACAAAUUAAUAUAAUAUCAUCACCACCAUGGUCCAACCACUGCGGAGUAAAACUGCUGCCAUAGCCGCCAUAAUUUAAGCUCCGUGAAGUAAAACAACUACUACUGCGACCAUAAUUCGAAUGUUGCCAACAUCUUCCAUUUCCAUUAACCGGUCUCUCACAAGGAGCACCAUCGCAAGUGGGUGCUCCACAAAUGGAUGUAAAAUCACCACCACCACCACCGUGGUCCAACCAUCGUGGAGUAAAACUGCUACCGCC